CGAAAGCAGGAAAGGCAGAAGCAGCACGGCCCGCUGUCGCUGGAUCGUUCAAGGAAUGUAUGCCAGAGAGUGUUCCCAAUUCUGCAGACGAGGAGCCAUCGGAGGGUUUCAAGCGGGGAAAUGUCAGCGAUAUUUGCAUUUUAGAGCGAUAACUCUGGCAGUGGUGGAUGGAUGGACUGGAGGGUGCACAUCGUUGGACUCAGAAGCCUGACCCUUGUGGGCAGCACAGAUACAGCACCAUGACAUCGAGUAGGACCCACUGAGUGUGGGCUUGUCUGAUGCUGUGGGCAGGCUAGAGAUAACACCCAGAACACUACUGUAGGACCCAGCCGUCCGUACGCUGUGUGGACAGUGCCGUGAAGCACGGCACCUUUCGGUUGUGUAGAGGAAGGGAUGAGAACGAGGAGGCUCGGGGAAUGUGGUGACCUCCUUUGAGCCACACAUGAACAGGCAGAGCUGAGAUCUUAACGCAGGCGUGGCCCCAAAGUGCCCGCGCAUUCCAGCAAGCCCGUAUAUCCGCCUGUGAAAAAUACCGCAGGGGCCCGGGAGAUUCUGGGUCUGCAACUUCACAACGAAGAUUGCCCGCCUUGCUAUUAACGAGUGUCCCCAGAUGGUGCCUAGACCCCGACGGCCCCGAGAAACCACACGCCACAGCCCGUGUCUCCUCGCCGACUCGUGAGGGAACCCUACGUGUCAGUGGCUCAUUAGAAGGCAGAAGAAGGUAUCUCUCCCUCUUCACCAGCCUCUGGAGGCCCAGAGACUGUCCGUCAACCGCCCCUCAACCUCCUGGGUGUCAGACCUACCGUGGACUGUCCUGCCGGCUUGUGGCGAAGGGGGAGGACAUUCGUGUGAAGCUCCUGAGAACUCAGUACACGUAAGUUACCUUUCCCUGUGCCCCCUUCACCCCGGAGCAGACGUGUGAGGGGCUUUGUCCACCUGCCUGGCUGGGCCGUACAUUCUUGGCCGGUGCCCCUUGACUCAAUACAAAGUGCUACCUGGGGCGGGAUUUUCCCUUUCCCAUUCCUUGAUGGCGCUUCCCCGCGCGGCUGUCUCGCCAGCUCUCUGCUGCCCUCGUGUGGCCACCCUGACCCCUGGCCAUUCCCGAUCCUCUGCUCCCUCGGUGUGGUCGCUUUGCCGUAAUGCAGCCUCUUCCCGGCGUCUGGGCCCAAAGUGGCUCCUCUGCCCUCCGUGUUUCAGACACACGCAUCAAACACAUCCGAGGCUAAUCUCAGCCCUCUCUGGUCAGGUGAUGUUGUCUCGGUUCUUUCCACGUGCCUUCGAGUACGCGGCCCAUCUGUAAGAGGCUCUGGGGGAGCCGCGGUGAGGGCUUGUGUGCCAGCAAGGCCUCGUCAGGCUUCCGGUCCCACAGUCUGUUGCUUUGCCCGACGGCAGGUUCUCUGACCCACGGGUGCUGAGAGCAGUAUGUUUCCGGAGGGCGUUGAAUCAUAGAUCUCCCCUCUUUUGUGCCCUUAAAUUCGGAUCUCUUUAAGUCAGUGGAGGAAAAUGCAACUACUCUUGCGUUGCCCGGGGUAAUGGGGCACCUUGGAUAGACCCAGAGCGCCAGGACUAUGGUGUGAAGACAAGAAAACAAAGGGUCUGUGGGCUACCGCCUUCGAAUCGCGUAGCUUGUCUGGCGAGGGGGACGGAGGGUUCAGGAUACAGUAAGUGCGCUGUUCUGUUUGAAAAACUUUGUGGGUGAGACUAAAGGGAGAAAUGCAUUUGGUGACCUGGCCCUAAACUAGAUUUGAGAGGGUGGGACUUGCAUAUCAGAUACCGAAGAGUCUUAUCUUUCUCCCAAUGUCAGUGAGAACAGUUUUGUGGCAGGAUGUUAUGUGAUUG
Molecule: long non-coding RNA, 1839 nt
Organism: Prionailurus viverrinus (fishing cat)
Lineage: Eukaryota; Metazoa; Chordata; Mammalia; Carnivora; Felidae
Exons: 4
Source: RefSeq, a predicted model, not a curated record